ACGAGGGCUAUGAAGUGCAGGUAGAAGAUGGUCAGGAAUGAAAACGGAACUGGAACGACAGACUUAAUCAAGGCCAAGAUCCAUGAGAUCGAUCUGCUGCAGGCUCAUCAUGAUCUUUGG
Gekko japonicus is the source of this 120-nucleotide long non-coding RNA. RefSeq lists it as uncharacterized. NCBI's taxonomy places the organism in Eukaryota, Metazoa, Chordata, Lepidosauria, Squamata, Gekkonidae. The record is from RefSeq and is a predicted model, not a curated record. The transcript has 3 exons.